CUACGGGGUGCACCAGUGAGGAAUAUUGCACAAUGGGGGGAACCCUGAUGCAGCAACGCCGCGUGGAGGAUGACGCAUUUCGGGGUGUAAACUCCUUUUAUAUGUCAAGAAAAUGACGGUAGCAUAUGAAUAAGCACCGGCUAACUCCGUGCCAGCAGCCGCGGUAAUACGGAGGGUGCAAGCGUUACUCGGAAUCACUGGGCGUAAAGGACGCGUAGGCGGGUUGGAAAGUCAGGUGUGAAAUCCUACAGCUUAACUGUAGAACUGCACUUGAAACUUCUAAUCUAGAGUAUGGGAGGGGGAGAUGGAAUUAGUGGUGUAGGGGUAAAAUCCGUAGAUAUCACUAGGAAUACCUAAAGCGAAGGCGAUCCCCUGGAACAUUACUGACGCUAAGGCGUGAAAGCGUGGGGAGCAAACAGGAUUAGAUACCCUCGUAGUC
RNAcentral lists this ribosomal RNA (439 nucleotides) under uncultured bacterium. RNAcentral's name for it is "partial 16S ribosomal RNA". It matches the Rfam family "Bacterial small subunit ribosomal RNA", at positions 339 to 795 of the family's 1533-position model. The record is from RNAcentral.